CCUACGGGAGGCAGCAGUGAGGAAUAUUGGUCAAUGGACGAGAGCCUGAACCAGCCAAGUAGCGUGAAGGAUGACUGCCCUAUGGGUUGUAAACUUCUUUUAUAUGGGAAUAAAAUGUUCCACGUGUGGCUUUUUGUAUGUACCAUAUGAAUAAGGAUCGGCUAACUCCGUGCCAGCAGCCGCGGUAAUACGGAGGAUCCGAGCGUUAUCCGGAUUUAUUGGGUUUAAAGGGAGCGUAGGUGGGUUGUUAAGUCAGUUGUGAAAGUUUGCGGCUCAACCGUAAAAUUGCAGUUGAUACUGGCAGUCUUGAGUACAGUAGAGGUAGGCGGAAUUCGUGGUGUAGCGGUGAAAUGCUUAGAUAUCACGAAGAACUCCGAUUGCGAAGGCAGCUCACUGGACUGCAACUGACACUGAGGCUCGAAAGUGUGGGUAUCAAACAGGAUUAGAUACCCGGGUAGUC
This 460-nucleotide ribosomal RNA is filed under the name uncultured bacterium. RNAcentral's name for it is "partial 16S ribosomal RNA". It matches the Rfam family "Bacterial small subunit ribosomal RNA", at positions 338 to 795 of the family's 1533-position model. The record is from RNAcentral.